RNAcentral lists this ribosomal RNA (896 nucleotides) under uncultured bacterium. Its description in RNAcentral is "bacterial SSU rRNA". It matches the Rfam family "Bacterial small subunit ribosomal RNA", at positions 61 to 920 of the family's 1533-position model. The record is from RNAcentral.
GUCGAACGAGUUCUCGUUGAUGAUCGGUGCUUGCACCGAGAUUCAACAUGGAACGAGUGGCGGACGGGUGAGUAACACGUGGGUAACCUGCCCUUAAGUGGGGGAUAACAUUUGGAAACAGAUGCUAAUACCGCAUAGAUCCAAGAACCGCAUGGUUCUUGGCUGAAAGAUGGCGUAAGCUAUCGCUUUUGGAUGGACCCGCGGCGUAUUAGCUAGUUGGUGAGGUAAUGGCUCACCAAGGCGAUGAUACGUAGCCGAACUGAGAGGUUGAUCGGCCACAUUGGGACUGAGACACGGCCCAAACUCCUACGGGAGGCAGCAGUAGGGAAUCUUCCACAAUGGACGCAAGUCUGAUGGAGCAACGCCGCGUGAGUGAAGAAGGCUUUCGGGUCGUAAAACUCUGUUGUUGGAGAAGAAUGGUCGGCAGAGUAACUGUUGUCGGCGUGACGGUAUCCAACCAGAAAGCCACGGCUAACUACGUGCCAGCAGCCGCGGUAAUACGUAGGUGGCAAGCGUUAUCCGGGUUUAUUGGGCGUAAAGCGAGCGCAGGCGGUUUUUUAAGUCUGAUGUGAAAGCCCUCGGCUUAACCGAGGAAGCGCAUCGGAAACUGGGAAACUUGAGUGCAGAAGAGGACAGUGGAACUCCAUGUGUAGCGGUGAAAUGCGUAGAUAUAUGGAAGAACACCAGUGGCGAAGGCGGCUGUCUGGUCUGUAACUGACGCUGAGGCUCGAAAGCAUGGGUAGCGAACAGGAUUAGAUACCCUGGUAGUCCAUGCCGUAAACGAUGAAUGCUAGGUGUUGGAGGGUUUCCGCCCUUCAGUGCCGCAGCUAACGCAUUAAGCAUUCCGCCUGGGGAGUACGACCGCAAGGUUGAAACUCAAAGGAAUUGACGGGGGC